Long non-coding RNA from Argentina anserina (silverweed cinquefoil), 740 nucleotides. RefSeq lists it as uncharacterized. NCBI's taxonomy places the organism in Eukaryota, Viridiplantae, Streptophyta, Magnoliopsida, Rosales, Rosaceae. The record is from RefSeq and is a predicted model, not a curated record. The transcript is spliced from 3 exons.
UUCCUCCUCGCCUAGCGUUGCUAAUCCGGCCACGAAUCACACAUGCAUCACCACCAUUGAAUCCCUCUCUUACUUCUCUUCAAAUCCAUGUCCAUCGAUCACUCAAACAUCCACGUUUUGACUUCAAAUUUAAGUGAAGCAGUGAAGAACAAUCGGAGAAUCUCUAUGGAUUCUGGCUUGGUUUUGAGCUCUGGCGAGCUUCCUUGACCACGAUUUGCGACCUUCAUGGUUCCUGGUUUGGAUGAGUUCUGGAGCUGUAGUAACAUGGGAAAGAGCAACAACUUAGUUUGGGAUCGAAAGAGGAGCAGCAGCCUCGGCUCUGCGUUUUCAACUUGUGGAGGAGUAAGAGAAGCAGUGUCAAUAUUUUGAAUAUUCAAACCUUCCUCAAGACCAAUAUUGAUGGAAUUGGUGGAUUCAUAUGGCUGAGCAAUGGCCAAGUUUAUGGGAUUUGAGGUCAUAUGAUGUGUAUUACCAGUAACACCUAUCCACACAUCAUUGUUCAAAGAACUAGAGGCACCAUGAGACUGUGCAGCCAUAGCACUUAGAGUAGCAUGAGGUUGAGCUCCUUGAAAUGCAUAGUUGUUUCUAUGCUAACAGUCUAAAGCUACAUGACCUCAACCUCCACAAAUUUGACACACAAGAAACACAACAUAAGUGAUAAUGGAGUUAUACUUGAGAGCAGUAUGACCGUUCUUGCAGCAGAUUUGACACUCAGGAGUAGCCACUGAUUGAGUUCUGUU